AUGGCAGCAGAACCUUUUGCAAGUUCAGAAGAAUUAGAUUUCUUUAAUGGUAACCUGCAGGAAAUACAUUAAAAACACAUUCUAUCAGUUACAAAUCUUAAUGUCACCAGCCAAGGAUGAGGGAAUUAAUGCCGGGCCCAAAAAUACAUAUAGUCAGCAACUCCGGGGCAAGGGCAGAGACAAUUUAUAGAGUGCGAGGUCUGGACGUCUGGAGCAGGCAGGCUGAGCUCAGCGGUGAAAUGGAAACAGGGCUGUUUUCAGAUGGAGCAGAGCAGGGGGAAGCUGCUCAGGGUGGCUUUGAUUCAAUCAUUGUUUCCCAUUUCUUAAUGUAAAUUACUUUUUUUAAUGCUAUGAAAGCCAGGUUCCGGUCUGUCACGAGAAGACUGUUUUCAUUAAGAUAAGCGCCUAUCAAGGGCAUUUUUAAAAGAAUCAAUCCCCAAAAAGAAAGCCACCUCCAUCAAAACAAUCCCAACCCUGAUUAUCUCCUCUGUCUACAUGGAUCAAACAAAGGGUAUAUCCAAGCAAUGGGCUGGCUGGAGAAUCUGGACAAUGAAGACAAAACAUAUGUAUAAUUUAUAGAAUUUUACUUCCUUUACAGCAGGUAUUUUUCUUUAUAUUGUAAAAUAAAACACAGGAGUAGGAAACCAUACUAAAAAUAUGUAGCCUAAAUUAUGAUACGGGAAAUAGUGGGUCUUUUAAAUUGCUUUAAUUUUUGGACUCAGCGCUCAUUUUGCCAAACUUGAACACAGUCUUGGAAA
RNAcentral lists this long non-coding RNA (758 nucleotides) under Homo sapiens (human). RNAcentral describes it as "HSALNT0333946". Lineage: Eukaryota; Metazoa; Chordata; Mammalia; Primates; Hominidae. The record is from RNAcentral.